GCAAACUUGGUCAUUUAGAGGAAGUAAAAGUCGUAACAAGGUUUCCGUAGGUGAACCUGCGGAAGGAUCAUCAGUGAUCUGUGUGGGCAGAGUGCUGCCUCCACACCAAUCUUGUGUGAACUGUUUUGUGGUAUGUGUGUUGGUGGUGCCGUGGAAUACACACCACCAACAUCACAAAUCUCUCUUUCAACCUUUGUCUAACAUGUACACCCACAAUUCAAAACAACUUUUAACAAUGGAUCUCUUGGCUCUCGCAUCGAUGAAGAACGCAGC
This 273-nucleotide unclassified non-coding RNA is filed under the name uncultured fungus. Its description in RNAcentral is "partial contains small subunit ribosomal RNA, internal transcribed spacer 1, and 5.8S ribosomal RNA". The stretch from base 1 to 73 matches the Rfam family "Eukaryotic small subunit ribosomal RNA", at positions 1759 to 1831 of the family's 1831-position model. The record is from RNAcentral. Lineage: Eukaryota; Fungi.